Molecule: ribosomal RNA, 1315 nt
Filed under: Triticum aestivum (bread wheat)
Lineage: Eukaryota; Viridiplantae; Streptophyta; Magnoliopsida; Poales; Poaceae
Description: partial small subunit ribosomal RNA
Source: RNAcentral
GGCCGCUGGAAGGUAGACGCGACCGUGACGGGGGGAGGAUCUAGGCCGGGACGUGUCGGGGGAGUGGACCUAGACUGGGGGCCGUGGUGGGGUGCGGAUCCAGGCCGGCCGUCCAGUGGGGGCGCGGACCAAGUCCGGCGGCGCGACGUGGACGCGGACCAAGGCCGGCGGUGCGACGUAGGGGACUGGUGGAGGCGGGGCGGGGGUUGGAAGAGACGCCGCACUGUAAAGGAGACGAGACCGUGCUCGAAGGGAGAUCAGGCAGUGCCGGAAGGGAGUUGAGGCCACACCGGACGGGAGAUGAGGUCGCACGGGAGGACGAGGAGGAGGUGUUGGGGUAGGAGUGGGAGGGACGGGGCUUGUUGAAGGAGGACGGAUAAAUCAUCACAACAAUGUUAUUGGUCGUCGGUGAUCAGUCUAGCUGGGAGGUUAUUGGUUGUAUACGGAACCGCGCAAGGAGCCGUACGAGAAACCCAGGCACCUCUAACCGGAGCCUCAGCGCGAUCGGUAUAGGAAACGUUUCUAGUAGUAGGUCAGUGAGACCCGAGUCCACCUCCCAGACCCAACCGAUGUUCCUUGUUUGUAUAAGACGUCGCAGUCCGUCAUGGGGCACCGUACGGCCUGUGUCCGGCACGUUCAGUAUGCGUAGCUAUGUAGGAAAGAGAUGAAGUAGUUACGCUGAAAGUAGUUUCUCUCCUAGUACCUCACCCAUUCCCGUCUUCACCUAUGUAGGUUACUCUUCCAGUCCCUUUCCCACGUGAGUCAAAAGGAACUGUACAGUUUACACCACUUGUAACUGUGAAGUCUUGACCACCCUAACCUUCUUUAAGUGUUCCUCGACCGCAGGGAACCGUAUGUCUACUUCACUAAAUGACUACUCGUAGUAUAACAUCGAAACAGUUUUUUAAUAAUGACCAGUUUUAUAGAGUGAGAACACAUUUUUAUAAUAGACGUCUACCGAUAACGGUCAGGUCCUACCGUCCGUUAAGUCUUCUACUUCAACCGUGUACAACAACUGUCCUAUCCUCUUCUAACCUAAAAGGAUGUCAUCCACUUCGUCACCUUCCUACGGAUUAACGUGUGUUCCCGUCACGAUACCUCACAACUCACAUACAAUCAUCUUUAUUGUGGUAAACAACAGCUAAACAUAGAUCACUCGUACCAAAUGUAUCGAGGCGUUUACGACUGUUUAUCAUUGUCUGCGUUGUUACUGUUUUGUACAUGCACAAGACAUCUUUAUUUCGUGUAAUUGAUCUCACCAUAUGCCAGCACAAAAACACUGAUAUGAGGGAAUUUUAGAUAUAGAUAAAUAAAC